AUGUCAGGUUCUCUCGUCAACGGUCAGCUGGGAUUGGCUUCGGCUCACUCGUGACCCUAAUCAGGAUGAGCAGUAUUACAAAACGGAUGGACGGGUGGAUAAAAGGACAGUCCACCUCACUUCUCGCACUAAAGCUCAGACAGAAUAUUUGUGAUUCCUUCCAAGACAAACUUUGGCUGAGAGAACCGACUGCAGCUCUGAAUCUGGCCCCCAUGCCACAAGAUGCUGCCAUAGCCCCGUCUAAAUAGGAAAGAAGCACAGUUUGCUGCCAAGGAAAUACAGUAAUGCCUCGGUUCUCAACCACAAUCCGUUCCAGAAAACGGUUCGAGGCGUGAUUUGUUGGAAAACCGAAUCGAUGUUUACCAUUGCAGUAAAUGGAAAAAGAAAUAAUGCGUUCCAAGCCUAAAAAAUUGGUCUUUUUAAAGCAUUUUUUUUAGCUUUUUCCAUAGUAGAAAUACAAGAAUAGUUUAAAUAUUUUAUACAAUUAAAUAAUUUCAGAAAUAUAUUUAUUUUUUGCUUAAAAGUUAUGCUUUAGUAGUAGCGUAAUCUAGGGUGGGAGUGCAUUGCCGUAUCUGUAGCAACUCGGCCCCCAGCCUUGUAAACUUUAUUAACAAAAGCGCAGACUAACUUUAAACAAGCAAGUGGGUGGGUCAACUGCUUGCGCCGCGUCCAUUAUGUUAUUGGAUAUGUUUUUUCGGCAGCGUGGGAAUUCACAACAAAGCGCAUCGUGCGUAAGCUGGUCUGGCCGCGCGCAAUAUGUUAUUUUUGGGUUUUCUCAGGGGUGUUCGAGUACCGAUUUUUGUUCGAAAACAGAAGCAAAAAAACUCAGAAUUUUCAUUGGAAAACCAAUUUGUUCGAAAACGGGGGACGUUCAAGAGGCGAGGCUUUACUGUAUAUUGAAGUGAUUAAUUUUGGGUAAAAGACAAGCUUUUUUAUGUCAGAGACAAGUUAAAUGUUUGUCGUCAGGUUCGAAAAGGAGAGUCCUCCCCUGGAUUUUCUUUUUUAGGCGUCAUUUACUCGUGGUUUUCACAAUUUUGCAGCAGGCUUCGGUCCAGAUGAUGGCUGGAUCCCAAAAGUGUCUUCAAGGGGCUCGUUCAUACAAGUCCAGUUUUCACUGGUACCCUUCAGUGGCAGCAUCCCAAAAGAAGACAAAGAAGAAAAACAAGGCCAAACACAACUACAACCGUCAAUUCCCAAAUGACUUACUGUACCGUAAAGUCUUGGAUGGAAA
Molecule: long non-coding RNA, 1231 nt
Organism: Syngnathoides biaculeatus (alligator pipefish)
Lineage: Eukaryota; Metazoa; Chordata; Actinopteri; Syngnathiformes; Syngnathidae
Exons: 3
Source: RefSeq, a predicted model, not a curated record